GACUUUAAUGAAUACAUCAAACACAGUACCCUCAGAUUAUUUGCAGAUGAUAGUAUAAUUAAUAAAACAAUUCGAAACAAAGAAGACACGCAAAAACUGCAAGAAGACCUCACAUCAGCAGCUAAAUGGGAAAAGGACUGGCUCAUGUCAUUCCAUCCAGACAAGUGUUCAGUCCUUCAGAUAACAACCAAGAAAAACCCAUUAAAAUUUGACUAUACUCUCCACCAACAUGUACUACAAAAAGAAACAUUCACAAAAUAUCUGGGAA
Molecule: long non-coding RNA, 268 nt
Filed under: Mytilus galloprovincialis (Mediterranean mussel)
Lineage: Eukaryota; Metazoa; Mollusca; Bivalvia; Mytilida; Mytilidae
Source: RNAcentral